CCUACGGGAGGCAGCAGUGGGGAAUAUUGCGCAAUGGGCGAAAGCCUGACGCAGCGACGCCGCGUGAGGGAUGAAGGUCUUCGGAUCGUCAACCUCUGUCAGCAGGGCAGAACGGUCACUGUGCUAAUCAGCAGUGAAUUGACGGUACCUUCAAAGUAAGCACCGGCUAACUCCGUGCCAGCAGCCGCGGUAAUACGGAGGGUGCGAGCGUUAAUCGGAAUUACUGGGCGUAAAGCGCUCGUCGGCGGUAUGUCAAGUCAAGGGUGAAAUCCCCGCGCUCAACGUGGGAACUGCCUUUGAAACUGGCAAACUGUAGUGUGUGAGAGGAGAGUGGAAUUCCAGGUGUAGGAGUGAAAUCCGUAGAUAUCUGGAGGAACAUCAGUGGCGAAGGCGACUAUCUGGCACAUAACUGACGCUGAGGAGCGAAAGCGUGGGUAGCAAACAGGAUUAGAUACCCCAGUAGUC
This 465-nucleotide ribosomal RNA is filed under the name uncultured bacterium. RNAcentral's name for it is "partial 16S ribosomal RNA". It matches the Rfam family "Bacterial small subunit ribosomal RNA", at positions 338 to 795 of the family's 1533-position model. The record is from RNAcentral.